RNAcentral lists this ribosomal RNA (560 nucleotides) under Hoplobatrachus rugulosus (rugose frog). Its description in RNAcentral is "partial 16S ribosomal RNA". It matches the Rfam family "Bacterial large subunit ribosomal RNA", at positions 1837 to 2610 of the family's 2925-position model. Lineage: Eukaryota; Metazoa; Chordata; Amphibia; Anura; Dicroglossidae. The record is from RNAcentral.
GAUUAAAUAUAAGAGGUCCAGCCUGCCCAGUGACAUAGUUAAACGGCCGCGGUACCCUGACCGUGCGAAGGUAGCAUAAUCACUUGUUCCUUAAAUAGGGACUUGUAUGAACGGCAUCACGAGGGCUUUACUGUCUCCUUUCUCCAAUCAGUGAAACUGAUCUCCCCGUGAAGAAGCGGGGAUGAUAAUAUAAGACGAGAAGACCCCAUGGAGCUUUAAACCCAACGACACCCCUCAACUCCCCAACCCAUUUUAGUUGCUACAGUCCUGUUCGUUGGUUUUAGGUUGGGGUGACCGCGGAGUAUAGAUUAACCUCCACGACGAAUGGGAUUACCCCCUUACCCAAGAGCUACUCCUCUAAGGAUCAAUAAAUUGACGUAAAAUGAUCCAAGCAUUUGAUCAACGGACCAAGUUACCCUGGGGAUAACAGCGCAAUCCAUUUCAAGAGCCCCUAUCGACAAAUGGGUUUACGACCUCGAUGUUGGAUCAGGGUACCCAAGUGGUGCAGCCGCUACUAAUGGUUUGUUUGUUCAACAAUUAAAACCCUACGUGAUCUGAGU